AUUGAACGCUGGCGGCAGGCCUAACACAUGCAAGUCGAGCGGCACCGAAAGUAGCUUGCUACUUUGCCGGCGAGCGGCGGACGGGUGAGUAAUGUCUGGGAAACUGCCUGAUGGAGGGGGAUAACUACUGGAAACGGUAGCUAAUACCGCAUGACCUCGAAAGAGCAAAGUGGGGGAUCUUCGGACCUCACGCCAUCGGAUGUGCCCAGAUGGGAUUAGCUAGUAGGUGAGGUAAUGGCUCACCUAGGCGACGAUCCCUAGCUGGUCUGAGAGGAUGACCAGCCACACUGGAACUGAGACACGGUCCAGACUCCUACGGGAGGCAGCAGUGGGGAAUAUUGCACAAUGGGCGCAAGCCUGAUGCAGCCAUGCCGCGUGUGUGAAGAAGGCCUUAGGGUUGUAAAGCACUUUCAGCGAGGAGGAAGGCACCAUACUUAAUACGUGUGGUGAUUGACGUUACUCGCGGAAGAAGCACCGGCUAACUCCGUGCCAGCAGCCGCGGUAAUACGGAGGGUGCAAGCGUUAAUCGGAAUUACUGGGCGUAAAGCGCACGCAGGCGGUUUGUUAAGUCAGAUGUGAAAUCCCCGCGCUUAACGUGGGAACUGCAUUUGAAACUGGCAAGCUAGAGUCUUGUAGAGGGGGGUAGAAUUCCAGGUGUAGCGGUGAAAUGCGUAGAGAUCUGGAGGAAUACCGGUGGCGAAGGCGGCCCCCUGGACAAAGACUGACGCUCAUGCACGAAAGCGUGGGGAGCAAACAGG
RNAcentral lists this ribosomal RNA (758 nucleotides) under uncultured Enterobacteriaceae bacterium. Its description in RNAcentral is "bacterial SSU rRNA". It matches the Rfam family "Bacterial small subunit ribosomal RNA", at positions 28 to 776 of the family's 1533-position model. Lineage: Bacteria; Pseudomonadati; Pseudomonadota; Gammaproteobacteria; Enterobacterales; Enterobacteriaceae. The record is from RNAcentral.